RNAcentral lists this ribosomal RNA (500 nucleotides) under uncultured bacterium. Its description in RNAcentral is "partial 16S ribosomal RNA". It matches the Rfam family "Bacterial small subunit ribosomal RNA", at positions 30 to 523 of the family's 1533-position model. The record is from RNAcentral.
AUUGAACGCUGGCGGCAUGCCUUACACAUGCAAGUCGAACGGCAGCACGGGAGCAAUCCUGGUGGCGAGUGGCGAACGGGUGAGUAAUAUAUCGGAACGUGCCCAGUCGUGGGUGAUAACGUAGCGAAAGCUACGCUAAUACCGCAUACGAUCUAUGGAUAAAAGCGGGGGAUCGCAAGACCUCGCGCGAUUGGAGCGGCCGAUAUCAGAUUAGGUAGUUGGUGAGGUAAAGGCUCACCAAGCCGACGAUCUGUAGCUGGUCUGAGAGGACGACCAGCCACACUGGGACUGAGACACGGCCCAGACUCCUACGGGAGGCAGCAGUGGGGAAUUUUGGACAAUGGGCGCAAGCCUGAUCCAGCAAUGCCGCGUGCAGGAUGAAGGCCUUCGGGUUGUAAACUGCUUUUGUACGGAACGAAACGGUGAGCUCUAAUACAGUUUGCUAAUGACGGUACCGUAAGAAUAGGCACCGGCUAACUACGUGCCAGCCGCCGCGGUAA